AUUUGACCUCAAAUCAGGUAAGAAUACCCGCUGAACUUAAGCAUAUCAAUAAGCGGAGGAAAAGAAAAUAACAAUGAUUCCCCUAGUAACUGCGAGUGAAGAGGGACAAGCUCAAAUUUUAAAUCCGUCGGGUUACACCUGACCGAGUUGUAAUUUGAAGAGGCGUUUUCCGCGUUUUUGAUCAGUCCAAGUCCUUUGGGAUAGGGCAUCAUGGAGGGUGAGAAUCCCGUUCGGCUGAUCAGAUUCGCUUUACGAUACGUCAUCUAAGAGUCAAGUUGUUUGGGAAUGCAGCUUAAAAUGGGAGGUAAAUUUCUCCUAAGGCUAAAUAACGGCGAGAGACCGAUAGCGAACAAGUACCGUGAGGGAAAGAUGAAAAGAACUUUGAAAAGAGAGUUAAACAGUACGUGAAAUUGUUGAAAGGGAAACGAUUGAAGCCAGUCGUACCGGUGGGUAAUCAGCCUUUCGGCGUGAUUAUGUGGAGCGUGAGGAGUCAAACGCCCUCAUGGCCUGCAUAUUCGUGUUCUUUGGGUGUACUUACCCGCAUGGUAGGUUAACAUCAAUUUCGAACGUCAUAAAAUGGUUGGAGGAAUGUAGCUUCGAUCUCGUAUUGAAGUGUUAUAGCCUUCGGCAGAUGUGAUGAUCGGGAUUGAGGAUUGCAACGGAUACCCCUCGGGCUACCCGUCUGAUCUCUGAAAGUUACUCUGGUGCCGAAAGCUCGCUUACGGUCAUCAAAGUUGACGUUCAACAGGUUAGAACGGGAUAAAUUCGUUAAGGAUGUUGACGUAAUGGCUUUAAACGACCCGUCUUGAAACACGGACCA
RNAcentral lists this ribosomal RNA (820 nucleotides) under Glomus cf. clarum Att894-7. Its description in RNAcentral is "eukaryotic LSU rRNA". It matches the Rfam family "Eukaryotic large subunit ribosomal RNA", at positions 1 to 668 of the family's 3401-position model. Lineage: Eukaryota; Fungi; Glomeromycota; Glomeromycetes; Glomerales; Glomeraceae. The record is from RNAcentral.